UACGUAGGGGGCAGGCGUUAAUCGGAAUUACUGGGCGUAAAGCGUGCGCAGGCGGUCUUUUAAGUCAGAUGUGAAAUCCCCGGGCUUAACCUGGGAACUGCGUUUGAAACUGGAAGGCUAGAGUGUGGCAGAGGGGGGUGGAAUUCCACGUGUAGCAGUGAAAUGCGUAGAUAUGUGGAGGAACACCGAUGGCGAAGGCAGCCCCCUGGGCUAACACUGACGCUCAUGCACGAAAGCGUGGGGAGCAAACAGG
RNAcentral lists this ribosomal RNA (253 nucleotides) under uncultured bacterium. RNAcentral's name for it is "partial 16S ribosomal RNA". It matches the Rfam family "Bacterial small subunit ribosomal RNA", at positions 524 to 776 of the family's 1533-position model. The record is from RNAcentral.